AAUAGAUACCCGGGUAGUCCACGCCGUAAACGAUGAGCACUAGGUGUCGGGGCCGCAAGGUUUCGGUGCCGCAGUUAACGCAUUAAGUGCUCCGGCCUGGGGAGUACGCACGCAAGUGUGAAACUCAAAGGAAUUGACGGGGACCCGCACAAGCAGCGGAGCAUGUGGUUUAAUUCGAAGCAACGCGAAGAACCUUACCAGGACUUGACAUCCCUCUGACAGUCCCUUAACCGGGAUCUCCCUUCGGGGCAGAGGAGACAGGUGGUGCAUGGUUGUCGUCAGCUCGUGUCGUGAGAUGUUGGGUUAAGUCCCGCAACGAGCGCAACCCUUGUCAUUAGUUGCCAGCAGUUCGGCUGGGCACUCUAGUGAGACUGCCGGGGAUAACUCGGAGGAAGUGGGGAUGACGUCAAAUCAUCAUGCCCCUUAUGUUCUGGGCUACACACGUGCUACAAUGGCUGGUACAAAGAGAAGCGAGACGGUGACGUGGAGCAAAUCUCAAAAACCAGUCCCAGUUCGGAUUGUAGG
This 525-nucleotide ribosomal RNA is filed under the name uncultured bacterium. RNAcentral describes it as "bacterial SSU rRNA". It matches the Rfam family "Bacterial small subunit ribosomal RNA", at positions 777 to 1304 of the family's 1533-position model. The record is from RNAcentral.